CCUACGGGAGGCAGCAGUGAGGAAUAUUGGUCAAUGGCCGUAAGGCUGAACCAGCCAAGUAGCGUGAGGGAAGACUGCCCUAUGGGUUGUAAACCUCUUUUAUGCGGGGAUAAAGGUGUCCACGUGUGGGUGUUUGGAUGUACUUUAUGAAUAAGGAUCGGCUAACUCCGUGCCAGCAGCCGCGGUAAUACGGAGGAUCCGAGCGUUAUCCGGAUUUAUUGGGUUGAAAGGGAGCGUAGAUGGGUUGUUAAGUCAGUUGUGAAAGUUUGCGGCUCAACCGUAAAAUUGCAAUUGAUACUGGCAGUCUUGAGUACAGUUGAGGUAGGCGGAAUUCGUGGUGUAGCGGUGAAAUGCUUAGAUAUCACGAAGAACUCCGAUUGCGAAGGCAGCUUACUAAACUGCCACUGACAUUGAUGCUCGAGAGUGUGGGUAUCAAACAGGAUUAGAUACCCCAGUAGUC
This 460-nucleotide ribosomal RNA is filed under the name uncultured bacterium. RNAcentral's name for it is "partial 16S ribosomal RNA". It matches the Rfam family "Bacterial small subunit ribosomal RNA", at positions 338 to 795 of the family's 1533-position model. The record is from RNAcentral.